This 460-nucleotide ribosomal RNA is filed under the name uncultured bacterium. RNAcentral describes it as "partial 16S ribosomal RNA". It matches the Rfam family "Bacterial small subunit ribosomal RNA", at positions 338 to 795 of the family's 1533-position model. The record is from RNAcentral.
CCUACGGGGGGCAGCAGUGAGGAAUAUUGGUCAAUGGCCGGAAGGCUGAACCAGCCAUGCCGCGUGAAGGUCAGUGCCCUAUGGGCGUUAAACUUCUUUUGUGCGGGAGCAAUAAUGGUCACGUGUGGCCAGACGAGAGUUCCGUACGAAUAAGCAUCGGCUAACUCCGUGCCAGCAGCCGCGGUCAUACGGGGGAUGCAAGCGUUAUCCGGAUUUAUUGGGUUUAAAGGGUGCGUAGGCUGUGAGGUAAGUCAGCGGUGAAAUGCCCCCGCUCAACGGGGUGAAGUGCCAUUGAUACUGGCUGGCUGGAGUGUGGAUGCCGUGGGAGGAAUGUGUGGUGUAGCGGUGAAAUGCAUAGAUAUCACACAGAACACCGAUUGCGAAGGCAUCUCACGAAUCCGCGAUUGACGCUGAUGCACGAAAGCGUGGGUAUCAAACAGGAUUAGAUACCCUUGUAGUC